RNAcentral lists this transfer RNA (76 nucleotides) under Bacillota bacterium. RNAcentral describes it as "Firmicutes bacterium (anaerobic digester metagenome) tRNA-Trp". It matches the Rfam family "tRNA". Rfam says of the family: Transfer RNA (tRNA) molecules are approximately 80 nucleotides in length. Their secondary structure includes four short double-helical elements and three loops (D, anti-codon, and T loops). Lineage: Bacteria; Bacillati; Bacillota. RNAcentral also lists the same sequence under 3 other names. The record is from RNAcentral.
AGGGGAGUAGCUCAAUGGGUAGAGCGGCGGUCUCCAAAACCGUAGGUUGCGGGUUCAAGUCCUGUCUCCCCUGCCA